RNAcentral lists this long non-coding RNA (297 nucleotides) under Zonotrichia albicollis (white-throated sparrow). Its description in RNAcentral is "lncRNA (ENSZALG00000009476.1)". Lineage: Eukaryota; Metazoa; Chordata; Aves; Passeriformes; Passerellidae. The record is from RNAcentral.
AUUAGAAACACAACAGACUGGAGUGUUUAUCCUGAUCAGUGGAGAAAGGACUUCACAGAUAUUUCUAAAAGCCAAGCUGAGAACUAAUGUCAUGGUGCUGGCUGCAGCCAUUGUGCUAUGGAUUGAAAUGACCUCUGGAAACCCACUCAGAAUGUCUUGGCCAGUCAAGGUUUACAAUGAAAAAAUUGAAGAGAACACACUAUGAAUCUGCCUCUGUUACUUCGCAAAAGCAGCACGGUCUCUACCCUGUGUACAAAGAACAUCCGUCAAAAUGAAUGCAAUGGCCUGACAGGGAGA